Molecule: ribosomal RNA, 459 nt
Filed under: uncultured bacterium
Lineage: Bacteria
Description: partial 16S ribosomal RNA
Rfam family: Bacterial small subunit ribosomal RNA
Source: RNAcentral
CCUACGGGAGGCAGCAGUGAGGAAUAUUGGUCAAUGGGCGCGAGCCUGAACCAGCCAAGUCGCGUGAAGGAUGACGGCCCUAUGGGUUGUAAACUUCUUUUGUCGGGGAGUAAAAGGCGCCACGCGUGCCUUUCUGAGUGUACUCUAUGAAAAAGGAUCGGCUAACUCCGUGCCAGCAGCCGCGGUAAUACGGAGGAUGCGAGCGGUAUCCGGAUUUAUUGGGUUUAAAGGGUGAGCAGGCGGGAGAUAAAGUCAGUGGUAAAAUUUUGAGGCUCAACCUAAUCGUGCAGUUGAAACUGGUAGUCUUGAGUGAGCGAGAAGUAUGCGGAAUGCGUGGUGUAGCGGUGAAAUGCAUAGAUAUCACGCAGAACUCCGAUUGCGAAGGCAGCAUACCGGCGCUCAACUGACGCUGAUGCACGAAAGUGUGGGUAUCGAACAGGAUUAGAUACCCGAGUAGUC